This 449-nucleotide ribosomal RNA is filed under the name uncultured Prevotella sp. RNAcentral describes it as "bacterial SSU rRNA". It matches the Rfam family "Bacterial small subunit ribosomal RNA", at positions 79 to 524 of the family's 1533-position model. The record is from RNAcentral. Lineage: Bacteria; Pseudomonadati; Bacteroidota; Bacteroidia; Bacteroidales; Prevotellaceae.
CAAUUUAUGAUGGCGACCGGCGCACGGGUGAGUAACGCGUAUCCAACCUACCCAUUACUAGGGAAUAACCCAGCGAAAGUUGGCCUAAUGCCCUAUGUAGUCGUUUGAUCGCCUGAGAUUUCGACGAAAGAUUUAUCGGUAUUGGAUGGGGGAUGCGUCUGAUUAGCUUGUUUGGCGGGUAAAGGCCCACCCAAGGCAACGAUCAGUAGGGGUUCUGAGAGGAAGGUCCCCCACAUUGGAACUGAGACACGGUCCAAACUCCUACGGGAGGCAGCAGUGAGGAAUAUUGGUCAAUGGACGAGAGUCUGAACCAGCCAAGUAGCGUGCAGGAUGACGGCCCUAUGGGUUGUAAACUGCUUUUGUUUGGGAAUAAUCGACAUUACGUGUAAUGUUUUGCAUGUACCAUUCGAAUAAGGACCGGCUAAUUCCGUGCCAGCAGCCGCGGUAAU